Non-coding RNA from Branchiostoma floridae (Florida lancelet), 71 nucleotides. The record is from Rfam. NCBI's taxonomy places the organism in Eukaryota, Metazoa, Chordata, Leptocardii, Amphioxiformes, Branchiostomatidae.
GGAAAUAUGGCAGAGCGUAUGCGAUUGGCUUGAAACCAAUAGACAAAGGUUUUAACUACCUUUUAUUUCUA